GCAGAAAAAAAUGCAUGUCUCUGUCCGGGCUGCGAUGUGAGGGAGAAAAUAGCUUGGGUGUCUGCAGUAGGGCAGAAGCAGGGCAGUCCUGCCAUGUACUGCUAGAGGCAAGAGGGAAAACCUGAGGACAGAAGCCUUUAAGAUGGGAGUGCUGCCAUGAGAAGUUAUAGCAGGGGAAGGCUGUGAAGGGAGCCCAGAGGAGCGUGGAGAUAGAAGGGCAGCCAGAUUGGGUCAAGUGUCAUCAGGUGUGUAACAGGAGGCAAGCAUAGGGUCUGGAUUUGGGUUACUGAGUGAAGUGAGAGGUGGAGAGAGCAGCAGACAAGACUGUAAGCAGAGCAAAAAAGUUAAAAAAUGAUAAAUAAAAUUAAAAAGUAAAAUAAACAGGUUAGUGUCACAUCUUGUCCAGAAGGGGAAGGAAGAGGUGACCAGAUUCCUUUACACUUAGUGCGGUCCCUGUGUCUCCUGUGUGGUUGCUGCUGAUGUGUGAAAUUCAGGUCACUUGCCAGAUGGUGUUGUUAGCCACCUCUGGAGUGUCUGCCUCUAGGAAGCUUAGAGCAUCUCCUUCCAGGAAGAAGGAUGGAAGGAUGGGCUUUCACCUGUUUUUCUUAGAGACACACCAGAUAAAUAUUCCCUGUUGUCUUGUACUUCCUACAGAGUGGAUCAUCCACUCAGUACAUGUAAUGUUGUGAAGAAGAGCAGCAGAAUAAUUUUCUUCUGUGAUACAUUUCUCCAAGAGGAAAAUAUUUUUAAAGGAGAACAAAAGGGAAGAAGAUACUGAAUUUAGUGAAGACAUGUACCAAUUAGCUUGUAGAAGUCCAUCUCUCUCUCAUGUUUAGAGAUCACACAAGAGAUGCUCACAGUUGAUUUAUCAGCUGCAUGCACAAAUUCAUUUGCGGUAGAAUCCCAGUCCCACUGAGGCCAAUAAAUUUGUUGUCAUUGAUUUUAAUGAAGCAAAAAUCUCAUGCUAUGGCU
Molecule: long non-coding RNA, 972 nt
Organism: Lagopus leucura (white-tailed ptarmigan)
Lineage: Eukaryota; Metazoa; Chordata; Aves; Galliformes; Phasianidae
Exons: 4
Source: RefSeq, a predicted model, not a curated record